GAUGAACGCUGGCGGCAUGCCUUACACAUGCAAGUCGAACGGUAACAGGUCUUCGGAUGCUGACGAGUGGCGAACGGGUGAGUAAUACAUCGGAACGUGCCUAGUAGUGGGGGAUAACUACUCGAAAGAGUGGCUAAUACCGCAUGAGAUCUACGGAUGAAAGCAGGGGAUCGCAAGACCUUGUGCUACUAGAGCGGCCGAUGGCAGAUUAGGUAGUUGGUGGGAUAAAAGCUUACCAAGCCGACGAUCUGUAGCUGGUCUGAGAGAACGAUCAGCCACACUGGGACUGAGACACGGCCCAGACUCUUACGGGAGGCAGCAGUGGGGAAUUUUGGACAAUGGGCGAAAGCCUGAUCCAGCAAUGCCGCGUGCAGGAUGAAGGCCUUCGGGUUGUAAACUGCUUUUGUACGGAACGAAAAGCCCCGGGUUAAUACCCUGGGGUCAUGACGGUACCGUAAGAAUAAGCACCGGCUAACUACGUGCCAGCCGCCGCAGUAA
Molecule: ribosomal RNA, 498 nt
Filed under: uncultured bacterium
Lineage: Bacteria
Description: partial 16S ribosomal RNA
Rfam family: Bacterial small subunit ribosomal RNA
Source: RNAcentral